This 73-nucleotide transfer RNA is filed under the name Cavia porcellus (domestic guinea pig). It matches the Rfam family "tRNA". From Rfam's summary of the family: Transfer RNA (tRNA) molecules are approximately 80 nucleotides in length. Their secondary structure includes four short double-helical elements and three loops (D, anti-codon, and T loops). Further hydrogen bonds mediate the characteristic L-shaped molecular structure. tRNAs have two regions of fundamental functional importance: the anti-codon, which is responsible for specific mRNA codon recognition, and the 3' end, to which the tRNAs corresponding amino acid is attached (by aminoacyl-tRNA synthetases). tRNAs cope with the degeneracy of the genetic code in two manners: having more than one tRNA (with a specific anti-codon) for a particular amino acid; and 'wobble' base-pairing, i.e. permitting non-standard base-pairing at the 3rd anti-codon position. The record is from Rfam by way of RNAcentral. Lineage: Eukaryota; Metazoa; Chordata; Mammalia; Rodentia; Caviidae.
GGGGAUUUAGCUCAGCAGCAUAAGCGUCUGCCUGGCAAGCACAAGGUCAUGAAUUCAAUUUUCAGUACCUCCC